RNAcentral lists this transfer RNA (69 nucleotides) under Arabidopsis thaliana (thale cress). RNAcentral describes it as "tRNA AT2G05315". The stretch from base 5 to 63 matches the Rfam family "tRNA", at positions 6 to 65 of the family's 71-position model. From Rfam's summary of the family: Transfer RNA (tRNA) molecules are approximately 80 nucleotides in length. Their secondary structure includes four short double-helical elements and three loops (D, anti-codon, and T loops). The record is from RNAcentral. Lineage: Eukaryota; Viridiplantae; Streptophyta; Magnoliopsida; Brassicales; Brassicaceae. RNAcentral also lists the same sequence under 1 other name.
AGGUAGUAGCUCUGGUAGAGCGAGGGACUGAAAAUCCUUCUGUCUGCGGUUCGAAUCCGGACUCACUUC